GACCGCACCGGUGGUCUAGUGGUUAGAGCAUCCGCUUCGUAUGUAGGAGGUCGUGGGUUCGAAUCCCAGGUUGAGUCA
This is a non-coding RNA of Potamilus streckersoni, 78 nucleotides long. Lineage: Eukaryota; Metazoa; Mollusca; Bivalvia; Unionida; Unionidae. The record is from the annotation of a GenBank genome assembly.